AUACGUAGGGGGCGAGCGUUGUCCGGAAUGAUUGGGCGUAAAGGGCGCGUAGGCGGCCCGGUAAGUCUGGAGUGAAAGUCCUGUUUUUAAGAUGGGAAUUGCUUUGGAUACUGUCGGGCUUGAGUGCAGGAGAGGUAAGUGGAAUUCCCAGUGUAGCGGUGAAAUGCGUAGAGAUUGGGAGGAACACCAGUGGCGAAGGCGACUUACUGGACUGUAACUGACGCUGAGGCGCGAAAGUGUGGGGAGCAAACAGGAUUAGAUACCCUGGUAGUCCACACUGUAAACGAUGAAUGCUAGGUGUAGGGGGUAUCGACCCCUUUUGUGCCGGAGUCAACACAAUAAGCAUUCCGCCUGGGGAGUACGGCCGCAAGGUUGAAACUCAAAGGAAUUGACGGGG
This 397-nucleotide ribosomal RNA is filed under the name uncultured bacterium. RNAcentral's name for it is "partial 16S ribosomal RNA". It matches the Rfam family "Bacterial small subunit ribosomal RNA", at positions 523 to 918 of the family's 1533-position model. The record is from RNAcentral.